Molecule: unclassified non-coding RNA, 213 nt
Filed under: plant metagenome
Description: partial contains small subunit ribosomal RNA, internal transcribed spacer 1, and 5.8S ribosomal RNA
Source: RNAcentral
UUUCCGUAGGUGAACCUGCGGAAGGAUCAUUCAUAAUGAGUGUUUUAUGGCACUUUUUUAAAUCCAUAUCCACCUUGUGUGCAAUGUCAGGGUUGACUCUUCUCUCGAGAGGAUCAACCCCAAACAUCAACUAUAUCUCAACUCUUUGUCUGAAAAAUAUUAUGAAUAAAACAAUUCAAAAUACAACUUUCAACAACGGAUCUCUUGGCUCUC